This is an RNA transcript of Dermacentor andersoni, 1428 nucleotides long. RefSeq lists it as uncharacterized. The record is from RefSeq and is a predicted model, not a curated record. NCBI's taxonomy places the organism in Eukaryota, Metazoa, Arthropoda, Arachnida, Ixodida, Ixodidae.
CUUGCUUGCGUCGGCGGUUACGCAAAUUUGACGUCAGGAGAUUGGAAUAAUACCAUAUUGGAAUAGUUUUACGUUAUAGGACCCCUGUUUUCCGUUUAACCGUUGGCUUCUUGACCAAUCCCCAGUAGUGGGUACGCGCCAUGGUAUAGGAAGCAAGCAAGCAAGCAAGCAAGCAAGCAAGCAACGUCGCUCUCGGCUCUCGUCGAACAAUGGGUAUCGGAAACGGAGACGUUCGGCACUUCCAUGACGACCGGAGGCAGUCGUUCCAGCUUGAGCAGUGCUGACAUGGCCACAGGCCGACACAGUUCUCGCGACACCCGCUACCUGACCCCUGCGGUACCGAUUCUCAUGAGGGUCAUCGAGGAGCAGGUAGUCGCCCAGAGGUGCGCAAGGACAUACCGGUGCUCAGCGAGAGUGGGGCUAUAUCGUCGCGUUGUUCAUGCUGAUGGCCACAGGCUCCCUCGUCACCUACGUCGUUCUCACCAACUCAGGCGUCAUCGAUGGCGGCUCCAAGAGCAAGACGCGCUCGCACGUCAACACAACAGCGCCCCAGCCGACCGCCUCCCCCACAACUGUGGGCGGUGCAUUCUCGAGUUCUAACACUGACUCGACACCGACCACGUGACUGGGAACCACGGGAAAGCGAGGACGCCGACAACUACGCCAUCUGGGAGGCGGGGCUUGCCAGCGAGCAACACGACUCGCACAUUUCUACGAAACGUUGCGCGGCUGAACUUGAGUGAUACACAAUGACAGGGCACUCGCUCUAACUAGUGACAGCCAGACAGUUUCUUCAAGAAUUCCGACUUUUAAUUUUUUUCGCCUUACGGUUCGAUUACAGUUUGCGCAAAACUUCAAUGGUUGUGACCGUAUCCGUGCAAUUGGUAGGUGGCAUAUGUAGGUGCAGGGGAAAUUUAGCCAUGCAAUGUGUGAUAUUGAGAUGAAAAAAGUACAUGCGUUGCCUGAAUUAGUAUUGUACCACGCGUGAAAUAUGAAUGUCAUUUCGCCGUAUUUUUAUUGAACGAUACCUCUAAACCAUAGGCAUUCUAGAGAGGAUAGUUGCGCAAACUCUACGCCAGAGUAUACAGUGUUAGCUAAUACAGUAUUGCAAAAAACAAAACAAAAAACGUUGACAUUCGGGAAAGAGAUAAGCUGGAUUCCUCAGUAUAAGUGAUAUCUUUACGGUGGGUAAAGUAAGUGACGGUUGGUGAUGGUGACUGGUAAAUCCGCAAAGCUAGUUUACGUUCGCAAUACUUGGUACUGGCAAUGUGAUGUUUCAGCAAUCUGUGAAUAAGCUUUUAUAAACUUCGCCUAGUAAGUAGGCAAUCUGAAAGCCAACUUCAUUAUCGACUAAAACAUUUCAAUGAUUGUCUUCUUCGAUUUAGCGUUUGGUCUUGUUUAAUAAAAAUAAAAGUAAUAAGAAAUGAA